RNAcentral lists this ribosomal RNA (301 nucleotides) under uncultured bacterium. RNAcentral describes it as "partial 16S ribosomal RNA". It matches the Rfam family "Bacterial small subunit ribosomal RNA", at positions 509 to 807 of the family's 1533-position model. The record is from RNAcentral.
CAGCAGCCGCGGUAACACGAAGGGUGCAAGCGUUAAUCGGAAUUACUGGGCGUAAAGCGUGCGUAGGCGGUUUGUUAAGUCUGUUGUGAAAUCCCCGGGCUCAACCUGGGAAUGGCAAUGGAUACUGGCAAGCUAGAGUAUGUCAGAGGAUGGUGGAAUUCCCGGUGUAGCGGUGAAAUGCGUAGAGAUCGGGAGGAACAUCAGUGGCGAAGGCGGCCAUCUGGGACAACACUGACGCUGAGGCACGAAAGCGUGGGGAGCAAACAGGAUUAGAUACCCCUGUAGUCCCUGUCUCUUAUAC